This 71-nucleotide transfer RNA is filed under the name Marmota monax (woodchuck). Its description in RNAcentral is "tRNA.Ala". Lineage: Eukaryota; Metazoa; Chordata; Mammalia; Rodentia; Sciuridae. The record is from RNAcentral.
GGGGUUGUGGCUCAGCGGUACAGCACUCGCCUAGCAUGUGUGAGGCCCUGGGUUUGACCCUCAACACCACA